UUCAAAAAAUCGAUUUUUUCAUAUUUCGAUAGGUUAUACCUUUAAAAAUAACAUAUUAGAAUUUCAAAUCGAUAUCUCAAUUAGUUUUUGAGUUACAGCCAUUUAAAGAGUAGUCGCUCGGCAGGUAGAAUAGGAUCAUUUUAUUUAGAGUACCUUUUUUAGA
Long non-coding RNA from Cotesia glomerata, 163 nucleotides. RefSeq lists it as uncharacterized. The record is from RefSeq and is a predicted model, not a curated record. The transcript is spliced from 3 exons. Lineage: Eukaryota; Metazoa; Arthropoda; Insecta; Hymenoptera; Braconidae.